CGUAGGGGGCAAGCGUUGUCCGGAUUUAUUGGGCGUAAAGCGCUCGCAGGUGGUCCGUCGCGUCGUGCGUGAAAGCCCCCGGCUCAACUGGGGAGUGUCGUGCGAUACGGGCGGGCUGGAGGCCAGUAGGGGGAUGCGGAAUUCCGGGUGUAGUGGUGGAAUGCGUAGAGAUCCGGAGGAACACCAGCGGCGAAGGCGGCAUCCUGGACUGGUCCUGACACUCAUGAGCGAAAGCGUGGGGAGCGAUCCGGGUUAGAUACCCGGGUAGUCCACGCCGUAAACGAUGCGCACUAGGUGUCGGGGGUAUCGACCCCCUCGGUGCCGCAGCUAACGCGAUAAGUGCGCCGCCUGGGGACUACGGCCGCAAGGCUA
Molecule: ribosomal RNA, 372 nt
Filed under: uncultured organism
Description: bacterial SSU rRNA
Rfam family: Bacterial small subunit ribosomal RNA
Source: RNAcentral